GACUCCGUAGCUCAGUUGGAUAGAGCAGCCGCCUUCUAAGCGGCAGGUCGCAGGUUCGAAUCCUGCCGGGGUCGCCA
This 77-nucleotide transfer RNA is filed under the name Methylocella silvestris. RNAcentral describes it as "tRNA-Arg". It matches the Rfam family "tRNA". Rfam says of the family: Transfer RNA (tRNA) molecules are approximately 80 nucleotides in length. Their secondary structure includes four short double-helical elements and three loops (D, anti-codon, and T loops). The record is from RNAcentral. Lineage: Bacteria; Pseudomonadati; Pseudomonadota; Alphaproteobacteria; Hyphomicrobiales; Beijerinckiaceae. RNAcentral also lists the same sequence under 1 other name.